ACGUAGGGAGCAAGCGUUAUCCGGAUUUAUUGGGUGUAAAGGGUGCGUAGACGGGAAAACAAGUUAGUUGUGAAAUCCCUCGGCUUAACUGAGGAACUGCAACUAAAACUAUUUUUCUUGAGUGCUGGAGAGGAAAGUGGAAUUCCUAGUGUAGCGGUGAAAUGCGUAGAUAUUAGGAGGAACACCAGUGGCGAAGGCGACUUUCUGGACAGUAACUGACGUUGAGGCACGAAAGUGUGGGGAGCAAACAG
Molecule: ribosomal RNA, 251 nt
Filed under: uncultured bacterium
Lineage: Bacteria
Description: partial 16S ribosomal RNA
Rfam family: Bacterial small subunit ribosomal RNA
Source: RNAcentral